Molecule: ribosomal RNA, 253 nt
Filed under: uncultured bacterium
Lineage: Bacteria
Description: partial 16S ribosomal RNA
Rfam family: Bacterial small subunit ribosomal RNA
Source: RNAcentral
UACGUAGGGGGCAAGCGUUGUCCGGAAUCAUUGGGCGUAAAGAGCGUGUAGGCGGCCAGAUAAGUCCGCUGUGAAAUCUCGAGGCUCAACUUCGAGCUGUCGGUGGAAACUGUCUGGCUAGAGUCCGGAAGAGGAGAAUGGAAUUCCUGGUGUAGCGGUGAAAUGCGCAGAUAUCAGGAAGAACACCCGUGGCGAAGGCGGUUCUCUGGGACUGUACUGACGCUGAGACGCGAAAGCGUGGGGAGCGAACAGG